Molecule: long non-coding RNA, 390 nt
Filed under: Brassica rapa (field mustard)
Lineage: Eukaryota; Viridiplantae; Streptophyta; Magnoliopsida; Brassicales; Brassicaceae
Description: long non-coding RNA (BRAP_LNC000808)
Source: RNAcentral
UGGCCACGUCUCUCUCUACUGCAAAUAAGGUAGUUCUUCUGUCUUCACCAUGAAGCAAACACGAGUUUUGACAGAAGAGACGAACACACACAGACAAACACAAUCUUUUGACAGAAGAGACUAACACACACAAACUCUCUACGAUUCUCUCUCAAAGAAGGUACAAAGAUCCAUAAUUAGUAUGUCUUAAAUAUAUAUUUUUACUUAAAUCUAACCGUAGUUUUACACACGGGGUCUCUCAGCCAGAGAGAAUGAAGAUAUACAACGUUCACCCUUAUAGGGGAAUAGUUCGAUAACUUAUUUUUGUUUUUAGUCACAAGUUUUGGACUUAAGGUGGCUAAUAAAGCAGUCGGAGAGUUACCGGACGAUUGAUGUCAGAGAUUUGUCCAG